RNAcentral lists this ribosomal RNA (508 nucleotides) under Paenibacillaceae bacterium CL7.19. RNAcentral describes it as "bacterial SSU rRNA". It matches the Rfam family "Bacterial small subunit ribosomal RNA", at positions 17 to 502 of the family's 1533-position model. Lineage: Bacteria; Bacillati; Bacillota; Bacilli; Caryophanales; Paenibacillaceae. The record is from RNAcentral.
CCCUGGCUCAGGACGAACGCUGGCGGCAUGCCUAAUACAUGCAAGUCGAGCGGAGUUGUUUUGAAAGCUUGCUUUCAAAACAACUUAGCGGCGGACGGGUGAGUAACACGUAGGUAACCUGCCUGUAAGACUGGGAUAACUACCGGAAACGGUAGCUAAUACCGGAUAAUUUGUUUCUUCUCAUGAAGAGACACUGAAAGGCGGAGUAAUCUGCCACUUAUAGAUGGGCCUGCGGCGCAUUAGCUAGUUGGUGAGGUAACGGCUCACCAAGGCGACGAUGCGUAGCCGACCUGAGAGGGUGAACGGCCACACUGGGACUGAGACACGGCCCAGACUCCUACGGGAGGCAGCAGUAGGGAAUCUUCCGCAAUGGACGAAAGUCUGACGGAGCAAUGCCGCGUGAGUGAUGAAGGUUUUCGGAUCGUAAAGCUCUGUUGCCAGGGAAGAACGCUUGGGAGAGUAACUGCUCUCAAGGUGACGGUACCUGAGAAGAAAGCCCCGGCUAACU